RNAcentral lists this long non-coding RNA (209 nucleotides) under Carica papaya (papaya). RNAcentral describes it as "long non-coding RNA (CPAP_LNC000817)". Lineage: Eukaryota; Viridiplantae; Streptophyta; Magnoliopsida; Brassicales; Caricaceae. The record is from RNAcentral.
AAUGAGAAUCGGAAAGGGCCUCAUCGGAGGCAUUUUUCGAAACACCCCACGACAACACCGCCGAGCUUUGACGGUAUUUUUCAGCCAAUGGGCUGGUUCUUUCACUCUGAUUUGGCCAUGGGUGGGUUUAAAAUUGAAUUUUGUGCAAGAUGGAAAAUUUUUACCUCAUUUGGCGAUCGAAAAUUGCUCCAGUAUGGCAACGGGUGGUG